This 174-nucleotide ribosomal RNA is filed under the name Pseudomonadota bacterium. RNAcentral describes it as "Proteobacteria bacterium partial 16S ribosomal RNA". It matches the Rfam family "Bacterial small subunit ribosomal RNA", at positions 1366 to 1533 of the family's 1533-position model. Lineage: Bacteria; Pseudomonadati; Pseudomonadota. The record is from RNAcentral.
AUACGUUCCCGGGCCUUGUACACACCGCCCGUCACACCAUGGGAAUUGGUUCUACCCGAAGCCGGUGCGCUAACCGUAAGGAAGCAGCCGACCACGGUAGGGUCAGUGACUGGGGUGAAGUCGUAACAAGGUAGCCGUAGGGGAACCUGCGGCUGGAUCACCUCCUUUCUAAGG